Long non-coding RNA from Dipodomys ordii (Ord's kangaroo rat), 1971 nucleotides. RefSeq lists it as uncharacterized. The record is from RefSeq and is a predicted model, not a curated record. The transcript has 2 exons. Lineage: Eukaryota; Metazoa; Chordata; Mammalia; Rodentia; Heteromyidae.
UGGGGCAGUGCACGGGACGCAGUGGACAGGGGGACGGGAUGCAGGGCAUGGGGCCGGCCAUUCCCUCCCAUGGGAGGUGAAAUGAGGGGUUUUCCCUCCCCGGUUGGACCUUGACCUCGCGAGGCCCCUCCCACUUCCCCUGGUGUCCCAGCGCCAGGCCAGCUCCUUCUGCCCUGCUCCUCCUCCCCCACCCCAAGCAGCCAGGUGGCCACGGCGGGCAUCUCCCGGCCACCCCAGACACCUGCCACCACCCUGCUGUUUGGCCGCUGGCCCGGGGCUCAGCCCACGCUGUGCAGUGGGGGCUGGGCACAGAAUGGGACAUUUUUUUAGGGAAAUCUACAUGUGCAGAGGUGGUUUGAGUGCCAUCAGACUUAUGUGUAGAACUUUUCCAAAAAAACAAAAACUGGCCUUAAUGAGCUCACGUGCAACCUGUGUGGAUGCGGUUCUCAAAUCUGGCCUGGGGACCCUGCCAGGCCCUUCCUCCCCCCCGCAGCUAGCACACGGGGACCCCAUGAAGUGCUCCCAAAGGAUGACCUGGAAUUCCCAGACAGGCAGGGCCUUCCUCAGCCCAGGGACCGGCAGCCCCACAUCCUCCUUCUAGAAGCAUCCAUGCUCUUUGAGGCUAAGCAGCUCUCCUGACUCUGUGGCAGAGAUGUAGUGGGUUCUGCGUCUGGCUUAUAGAUCUCCUCUGUGAAAUAUUCCUGAAUUGCCUGGACUUUUCUUUUUUCCAGAAGGCAAUGGGUGGGAUUCAGCCCUUUCCUUUAGACAGGAGAACCCCGCGGUUUGGGAGAGGCCACGUGGGAGGUGCAAGCCACCAGUGUCCUCUGGCCUGCUGAGGUGGGGGCCACCCCUCUGCCAGACAGAAGCAAGACAGGCAUCCUGGCCUCAGUUUACCCUCCAGGACACUAGGGGAGUGGGUUUGUUCCUCCUGAGGCUUAAGGGCGAGGGUCAGCCCUGUGUCCCCUCUGUCCCCACCCCUUCACCCAGUGGGCUGUGCCAGCAACUGUCCUCCAGGGCAGCUCCGGGUCCUGUCCCAUCCGACAGUCGGGUGAUGUCGGGGGCAGGGGAGAAGGGCUCAGGGAGCUGGGGCCGCUGCCCCCGCCAUCCAUGUCCUGCCUGCUCCUCCACACCUCGCCCAGGCCUGCAUUCUGAGUGUUGUGAAUUUCCAAAAACAACCUCUAAUCUGGUGUGGGAGACCUGGUGGCAGGAGUCAUGUGUUGUCCCCAGGCGGGGCCUGUGGCCUGGGGAGGUGGCGCCUUGGUCCCCCGUGUUCCCGGGCCCCACUCCUACAGGGCUGCCCGGUCUGCUGGCGCCCCAGGAUGCCCCCCUGGAGCAGAGACUUCAGCCCCGACUGUGGCACCAUCCGCCAUUCACCCCUGGAGGUGGGAGAUGGGGCGCCAUGGGCACGGGGGUACAACAACACAGGGUCAACAGCGAGCCCCAGGUGACCUGUGCCUCAGUUUCCCCUGUCAUUUCUUGGUCCCACAGGUCCCCUCCCAGCAGCUUGGGUAGGGCAGGACCAUGGGAUGGUGCUGGCUGCUGGCUCUGCCCAUGUCCCCCUUCCUGGGACCCAGGGACAGGCGGCUGAGUCUGGGGGAGCCCCACCUUGCAAUGUGCUGGCAUCUGGGGGCCCUCCAUGCCCAGCCUGCCCCAGCCCAGCCUGCCCCACACCCCGGCCACGGAGGACCUGGGGCAGCGCCACGGCCUCGCAUCCGGACGCGGGCUCUGCUCUGGUACCUGGGUGGACCCCUGACAGAUGCAAACGCACCCAUCAGAGCCUGCCCGGCCUGUGCCCCCCACGCCCGGCUCUACCCCAGCAUGCACAUGCCAGACCCACGCGAGGCCCCUCCGUGGGUGCCGCAGCGGGCGGGCGGGCGGGGGCUCGGCCGCACCCCAGCCUCUGGUGAGGGCUUGUCUUUGUACGUCUGCAUCCUUUGUAAUGAAAUGUAAUAAAAAUGAAACGUUUUCGGC